This 378-nucleotide ribosomal RNA is filed under the name uncultured eukaryote. Its description in RNAcentral is "partial 18S ribosomal RNA". It matches the Rfam family "Eukaryotic small subunit ribosomal RNA", at positions 592 to 976 of the family's 1831-position model. The record is from RNAcentral.
CAAUAGCGUAUAUUUAAGUUGUUGCAGUUAAAAAGCUCGUAGUUGGAUUUCGGGUGGGACGCAGCGGUCUCGCAUUGCGUUUGUACUGCUGCAGCCCUCCUUCUUGCCGGGGGCGGCCUCUCGGACUUCACUGUCUGGGGGUCAGAAUCGGCGAUGUUACUUUGAGUAAAUUAGAGUGUUCAAAGCAAGCUUACGCUCUGAAUAUAAUAGCAUGGGAUAACACGACAGGAUUCUGGCCUAUCGUGUUGGUCUAUAGGACCAGAGUAAUGAUUAAGAGGGACAGUCGGGGGCAUUCGUAUUCCGUUGUCAGAGGUGAAAUUCUUGGAUUUACGGAAGACGAACAUCUGCGAAAGCAUUUGCCAAGGAUGUUUUCAUUGA